GAUGAACGCUGGCGGCGUGCUUAACACAUGCAAGUCGAACGGAAAGGCUCCUGCUUGCAGGGGCACUCGAGUGGCGAACGGGUGAGUAACACGUGGGUGAUCUGCCCUGCACUUCGGGAUAAGCCUGGGAAACUGGGUCUAAUACCGGAUAGGACGAUGGUUUGGAUGCCAUCGUGGAAAGUUUUUUCGGUGUGGGAUGAGCUCGCGGCCUAUCAGCUUGUUGGUGGGGUAAUGGCCUACCAAGGCGUCGACGGGUAGCCGGCCUGAGAGGGUGUACGGCCACAUUGGGACUGAGAUACGGCCCAGACUCCUACGGGAGGCAGCAGGGGGGAAUAUUGCACAAUGGGCGCAAGCCUGAUGCAGCGACGCUGCGUGGGGGAUGACGGCCUUCGGGUUGUAAACUCCUUUCGCUAGGGACGAAGCGCAAGUGACGGUACCUGGAGAAGAAGCACCGGCUAACUACGUG
Molecule: ribosomal RNA, 466 nt
Filed under: uncultured bacterium
Lineage: Bacteria
Description: partial 16S ribosomal RNA
Rfam family: Bacterial small subunit ribosomal RNA
Source: RNAcentral